Molecule: long non-coding RNA, 1059 nt
Organism: Syzygium oleosum
Lineage: Eukaryota; Viridiplantae; Streptophyta; Magnoliopsida; Myrtales; Myrtaceae
Exons: 2
Source: RefSeq, a predicted model, not a curated record
GGGGAAACAAUCCCAUUUGGAGGACAAUCAGGCAAACAUGAUAGAGUUGAGGUCAUAAGCAGAGGACCGACGGUGAAACUCGAUGGCACUCUCCCGUCAGGCAUGGGUGUACAUUUUCAAUUACUGAUUCCCCAUGAUGAGUAUGAGGUUGGGCGCCUUUUUGUCGACAAUGGUAGCUCAGCAAAUGUCCUAUCUCUAGAUGUUAUUAAGAAGAUAGGUGGACAUCAGGAACAAUUAAGACUGCAUGAAGGCCCAUUUUUAUGGAUUAUCUGUUGAGGCAGUUAGGGUAGAGGGCCUACUCCGACUUCCUGCUGCUAUUGAGUCGGUCCCAAGGCAAGCUCACAUGUAUACCGACUUUUUGGUGGUUAAUGUCCCGUCGCAUGCCACAGCAUCAACAUGCGACCAACACUUAAUGCCAUUCGUACUAUCAUCUCGACCUAUCACUUCCUAAUGGAGUUCAAAACAGACAAUGGUGUAGGGAAGGUUCGUGGCGAUCAGUCCAUGGUCUGUCAAUGUUAUAUGGUGGCAACCAGGGGCAAAUCUCUAGAUCAAGCAAUGACAGCAGAAAUGAAUGCUAGAGAUCCGUUUAUCUACAGUCGGCCCACUCCAGGAGAUGAGGCAGUAUAUGUGCGCCUUGAGGACAAGGUACCUGAGACAACAACACGGAUUGGGAUGAACUUGCCAUUGACUGUGGCCACACAGAUGACUGAUUUUCAAUGAAGUAAUGCAGAUGUCUUUGCCUGGGAGCCAUUAGAAAUGCCCGGGAUUGACCUACCGUUCAUGGCUCACCGAUUGAACGUCUCGCCAGAGUACAAGCCUGUUAGACAGAAAAAAUGAUCGUUUAGGCUGGAGCGUCAGCAGCUUAUUAAGGGGAGACCAGCAAAUUGUUGAAGGCGGGAUUUGUGAGAAUGUCAUGUAUUCUGGAUGAUUAGCUAAUGUGGUGCUGUUAAAGAAGUUGAACGGUAAAUGGCGUAUAUGUGGGGACUUCAUCGACCUCAACAAGGCUUGUCCUGUGGAUAGUUUUCCACUGCCAAGAAUUGACCAGUUGGUGGACAUGUA